RNAcentral lists this ribosomal RNA (545 nucleotides) under uncultured Providencia sp. RNAcentral describes it as "bacterial SSU rRNA". It matches the Rfam family "Bacterial small subunit ribosomal RNA", at positions 9 to 570 of the family's 1533-position model. The record is from RNAcentral. Lineage: Bacteria; Pseudomonadati; Pseudomonadota; Gammaproteobacteria; Enterobacterales; Morganellaceae.
GAGUUUGAUCAUGGCUCAGAUUGAACGCUGGCGGCAGGCCUAACACAUGCAAGUCGAGCGGUAGGGAAGCUUGCUUCUCACGAGCGGCGGACGGGUGAGUAAUGUAUGGGGAUCUGCCCGAUAGAGGGGGAUAACUACUGGAAACGGUAGCUAAUACCGCAUAAUCUCUAAGGAGCAAAGCAGUUCGUUGCGCUAUCGGAUGAACCCAUAUGGGAUUAGCUAGUUGGUGAGGUAAUGGCUCACCAAGGCGACGAUCCCUAGCUGGUCUGAGAGGAUGAUCAGCCACACUGGGACUGAGACACGGCCCAGACUCCUACGGGAGGCAGCAGUGGGGAAUAUUGCACAAUGGGCGCAAGCCUGAUGCAGCCAUGCCGCGUGUAUGAAGAAGGCCUUAGGGUUGUAAAGUACUUUCAGUUGGGAGGAAGGCGUUGAUUAAUAUCAACGAUUGACGUUACCAACAGAAGAAGCACCGGCUAACUCCGUGCCAGCAGCCGCGGUAAUACGGAGGUGCAAGCGUUAUCGGAAUUACUGGGCGUAAAGCGCAC